UAGCGAGUGCUCACUUUGUGAGAACCACGUGACAGGUACUGCAUGGCUGUCGUCAGUUCGUGUCGUAAGAUGUUGGGUUAAGUCCCGUAACGAACGCAACCCCUGUCUUUUAGUUGCCAGCAUUAAGUUGGGGACUCUAGAGAGACUGCCAAGGUGACAACUUGGAGGAAGGUGGGGAUGACGUCAAGUCCAUAUGGUCCUUACAUCCAGGGCGAGAAACGUGCUACAAUGGUUGGUACAAUGGGGAGCAAAAUCGCAAGAUCGAGCAAAUCCUCAAAACUAAUCUCAGUUCGGAUUGGAGUCUGCAACCCGACUCCAUGAAGUUGGAAUCGCUAGUAAUCGCGGAUCAGCAUGCCGCGNNGAAUACGUAUCCGGGUCUUGUACACACCGCCCGUCAAGUCAA
RNAcentral lists this ribosomal RNA (403 nucleotides) under uncultured bacterium. RNAcentral's name for it is "bacterial SSU rRNA". It matches the Rfam family "Bacterial small subunit ribosomal RNA", at positions 999 to 1405 of the family's 1533-position model. The record is from RNAcentral.